Molecule: ribosomal RNA, 253 nt
Filed under: uncultured bacterium
Lineage: Bacteria
Description: partial 16S ribosomal RNA
Rfam family: Bacterial small subunit ribosomal RNA
Source: RNAcentral
UACGAGAGGCCCAAACGUUGUUCGGAAUCACUGGGCGUAAAGCGCACGUAGGCGGACUUUCAAGUCAGGGGUGAAAUCCCGGGGCUCAACCUCGGAAUUGCCUUUGAUACUGUAGGUCUCGAGUCCGGAAGAGGUGGGUGGAAUUCCUAGUGUAGAGGUGAAAUUCGUAGAUAUUAGGAAGAACACCAGUGGCGAAGGCGGCUCACUGGCCCGAUACUGACGCUGCGGCACGAAAGCGUGGGGAGCAAACAGG